RNAcentral lists this ribosomal RNA (492 nucleotides) under uncultured bacterium. RNAcentral's name for it is "partial 16S ribosomal RNA". It matches the Rfam family "Bacterial small subunit ribosomal RNA", at positions 29 to 507 of the family's 1533-position model. The record is from RNAcentral.
AGUGAACGCUGGCGGCAGGCCUAACACAUGCAAGUCGAGCGGCAGCACAGAAAGUGCUCGUGCUUACGGCUGCGGAGGGGCGGACGGUGGAUGAAUACAUGGGAGUCUACUUUGUAGUAGGGGCGAACGCGGGCGAUAUUACGGUAAUACUGCAUACGACGUACGGGGGAGAGCAGGGGACCUUCCGCCAUCGGGUGAGCCUAUGACGCGAUGUCGGAUUAGCUAGUUGGAGGGGUAAAGGCCCACCAAGGCGACGAUCCGUAGCUGGUCUGAGAGGAUGAUCAGUCACACUGGAACUGAGACACGGUCCAGACUCCUACGGGAGGCAGCAGUGGGGAAUAUUGGACAAUGGGCGCAAGCCUGAUCCAGCCAUGCCGCGUGUGUGAAGAAGGUCUUCGGGUUGUAAAGCACUUUUGUUGGGGAGGAAAAGCAGCAGGUUAAUACCCUGCUGUUCUGACGUUACCAAAAGAAUAAGCACCGGCUAACUUCGUG